Long non-coding RNA from Urocitellus parryii (Arctic ground squirrel), 847 nucleotides. RefSeq lists it as uncharacterized. Lineage: Eukaryota; Metazoa; Chordata; Mammalia; Rodentia; Sciuridae. The record is from RefSeq and is a predicted model, not a curated record.
GUGUGGGAAGCCACAUGGAGGAGGCUGAGCUGUGACGGGAGCCACCUCAUCUGCCAGCUGCAGAAGUGCCGUGACUACCGAGAGGAACCCCAGGUGGCUGUGGGGGGCGGGGCUCUCCCUGGAAGGGUCUCAGUGCCCAGGAGGAAAGCUCUCCGUCUAACGUGGUAGGAGCGGAUGGGUCUUUCCAUCUCCCGUUGUCCAGCCAGCCCAGCGGUCCACAUCCCCAGAGGGUUCGCCAAUCUCCAGCCCUUGGAGAUCUCGGAGGUCUCCACCUUCUGAAAUCCAUGCUGUACAGAAUUCUUUCCCCUGUGAACAGAGACCCACAGGUCUUGCUUCAUCUCUUCCUGAGCACCCGCCUCUGAGCAGAGCAUGUUGGACUAAUGAUCGGCUGAAUUCCAGCAGUUUCCUGGGAUUUGCCUCAAGUUUGCAGCUGGACACAGAACUACAGUGAUGCUUUGGUGAAGAGUAUGAAGACGUUGUAUAGUGCACCCAGUCCCCAUCCACAGGGGAGUGGCAUCUUGGUGCCUGCCAUCUCACACGGAGAAGGCUCUGUUUCUGGCUCUCUUUUCUGUCCUACCAUCUUCUCCCUUAGACCUCCUAAGGCACCAUUUGGCUUUCUGUAGUUUCAGUUACCUAUGAUCCACUGCUGUCUAAGAGUUCAUAAAUUGUAAACCCUGUGCCUUUCUGAACUCCACACCACCCUGCUUGACUCUCCUGGAAUGUGAAUUACCCUUUGUCCCGUGUGUCCAUGCUGUCUAUGUAGCCCGCCUGUUAGUCACUUAGUAGCAUCUUGGUUAUCAGAUGGACAUGGUGUGCAGUGCCUGUGAUCAAGUAUUAACUUAAUAAA